UACGUGGGGGGCAAGCGUUGUCCGGAAUCAUUGGGCGUAAAGCGCGCGUAGGCGGCCCUGUAAGUCCGUUGUGAAAGUCGAAGGCUCAACCUUCGAAAGCCGAUGGAUACUGCAGGGCUAGAGUCCGGAAGAGGCGAGUGGAAUUCCUGGUGUAGCGGUGGAAUGCGCAGAUAUCAGGAGGAACACCAAUAGCGAAGGCAGCUCGCUGGGACGGUACUGACGCUAAGGCGCGAAAGCGUGGGUAGCAAACAGG
Molecule: ribosomal RNA, 253 nt
Filed under: uncultured bacterium
Lineage: Bacteria
Description: partial 16S ribosomal RNA
Rfam family: Bacterial small subunit ribosomal RNA
Source: RNAcentral